UACGAAGGGGGCUAGCGUUGCUCGGAAUCACUGGGCGUAAAGGGUGCGUAGGCGGGUCUUUAAGUCAGGGGUGAAAUCCUGGAGCUCAACUCCAGAACUGCCUUUGAUACUGAGGAUCUUGAGUUCGGGAGAGGUGAGUGGAACUGCGAGUGUAGAGGUGAAAUUCGUGGAUAUUCGCAAGAACACCAGUGGCGAAGGCGGCUCACUGGCCCGAUACUGACGCUGAGGCACGAAAGCGUGGGGAGCAAACAGG
This 253-nucleotide ribosomal RNA is filed under the name uncultured bacterium. Its description in RNAcentral is "partial 16S ribosomal RNA". It matches the Rfam family "Bacterial small subunit ribosomal RNA", at positions 524 to 776 of the family's 1533-position model. The record is from RNAcentral.